Molecule: long non-coding RNA, 1846 nt
Organism: Lingula anatina
Lineage: Eukaryota; Metazoa; Brachiopoda; Lingulata; Lingulida; Lingulidae
Source: RefSeq, a predicted model, not a curated record
UAAGAUGGAAACCUUUGAGAAAACCCUACCAUCGAUCUGAUGCCUGACACAUGUAGUGUCCCUGGAGUGUUACGUAGGGUUGUUGAGACAGGACACUCAUCCAAUUACCAAUUUUGAUGGACUUUGCAGAUUGUGAACUCACAAACACAUAAGCCACCUGAGCAAGUGAGAGAGAGUGUGUCAGAGAGCAAUGCCCAGGUGUUGUAUGCAGCCCGCGGAUGUCUGGGUGAAGAGUAUUAUGGAGAAUACUGUGAAAAGGAGCCUUCAGCUUUCACUGGAGCUGAUCUUUAAUCAAGAUCCUUUUUGAGGUCAAAUUUGAAAAACUGUAUUUGGUUUAAAAUUUCAUUUUGUUGAUUAUCAUAUCUCAUAAAACAGCUGCCAUUGUGGUCCCCAUUAUACUUGGGGUCAUCCUAUUAGAGGCAGUUAUUGUUGUGUUCCUAUUUCUGCAAAGAAGAAGUAUGGGCAAGGCCCUAACUGCAUUUGAAUGGGGAGGGGGUGAAUUCAGACUGGGGCACCUGCAGGAACUGGCUUUCCAUGGAGAAAAGGUUGUGGCCAUCAGCAUGCCAGACUUAGCAUAUGACAGCUCUGUGGCACAGAAUGGAGUAAAUAGCUUCAAUAACUGGAAAUUUUCUUUUUAUUCAUUAGUCUAAAGUGCUUGUCUUUUUUGAAGACUACAACAAACCAAAAAACGUGCUAAACCUAAAACAGGGCAUGGCCAGCCCCAAUGACCCACUCAUUCCAAUGGGGUAGCAGACAACCAGUCAUCAGAGAUCACAGUCCAUAUACCACAUAAAGAAUGUAUUAAUUACUUUAAAAUGUGAGGGGAAAUGAUACAGCUCAGUCAGUGUAGCAAGUGGAGUUGAUAUGAUUCCAGAUGAAAAUACAAAACAGCAAUUUGCAGUUUGUUUUAAAACAUCAUCCUAGAAAUAUAUCUGUGUUGGAUUCCUUGGUGUACUCAACAUUCCAAGAACUAUUGUCUUGGUUCAGAAACGGGUAGAAGAUAAAUUUAUAUUUAAUAGCAUACAAGACAUGUUGAUGGUUUUUUCCUUCUGGCUUUGAACUAUAUGUCAUGUGACAUUUAAUAGACGUCUUCGGAUGGUAAUUUUAUCAAUAUUUGAUCAAUACAAAAGCUUUAAGAAGGCUGGAAGAAAAUUAGUCCCUCUCCAUUGCAACAUUACUUAUAUAUGAUUUUUAUUUACAGACAGAAGUGUCUGAACAUAUUGCUGUCACAUGCGUCUGUCAUCACCGUCUUUGCCAUGCACUUUCAGUGUUAUAACGAUAAGUAGAAAACUAUUUUGUCUGCAAACUUACAAAACUGAUGAAUAUUCAUAUACUGGAUGAGUUUGAAAAUCAGCUUUAUUUUUAUAAUUUUUACAACAUUCAUUUUUUUUUUUUUUUGUAUAAGUGGUUUUUCCUCAGGUUCAAUUCUUAGUCAUAAACGUCUCAUUAUUGAACAUAUUACAAACAUAAAUUUGAUAAAUGUGUUCUUUUGACAAAUUCUGCAUUUUAACAAUUUUGUUAGUUGAUUAUAUAAAAAUGAUGGUAAAUCUGUUAUCAUGUCUUGUGAAAUAAAGAGUCAAAAUUGGAAAAUAAAAUUAUAUCAGUGCAGUUUGUCAAAUUCAAUCCUUCGCUAUGUUUAUAAUUUCAAAAUGAAGCAAAUUGGAUAUUUAAAAUUGUUCAAUUGAUGUAUUUUUUAUUUGUUUGAAUAGAGGCCUGUUGAUACCAUAUUGCUGUACUUGAAAUUUUGUUUGUUCUUUUAGUGUUAGUGCAUUGUUCUUUAAGUAUGAGAUAUAUUAAUUUUGAUUUUUAGAUACUUGUCAAACAGUAUUUUUUUUGUUUUUGAGAG